RNAcentral lists this ribosomal RNA (840 nucleotides) under Triticum aestivum (bread wheat). RNAcentral describes it as "partial small subunit ribosomal RNA". Lineage: Eukaryota; Viridiplantae; Streptophyta; Magnoliopsida; Poales; Poaceae. The record is from RNAcentral.
AUGGAGAGUGUUGAAGUCACCGCUGCAAGUGGGAGCUCCGGGAGAGCUGGGAUCAUUGUAUGGACCAAUUCGAUGACGAAAACCAUGCUUGGUUUUUUGGCUGGUCUUGUUGCUGAUGGGAAGAGAACUUCAAGUGGAUUCAGGGAUGUGCAUCAUAGACAAUGUGCUGCUGUUUUGAACGAGCAAUUCAAGCUUUCUGUCAUCGGAGAUCAAGUCAAAAACCAUCUCAAGAAGUGGAGGAAGAUAUGGGGAAGGGUAGCCAACUUGAAGAAUUUAAGUGGAGCUCUAUGGGAUGAAGACACUUGCACAAUUAGGCUCAGCGAGGAGCACUAUGCAGGGCAUUGUAUGACCCACAAAGCUGAUGCCCCCUUCUUGAAUACACCAAUUGAACACUAUCAUGCCAUGGCUUCCAUUUAUGGGACAAUGGGGGCCAAGGGGCAGAAUGCUAGGUCUGGCAACGAUCUUCUUUCUAUUGAUCUCGAAGACGAGGAGAAUGGUGAGGUGAACACGUCACCAAAUGUUGGUGAGUCUUGUGACCCCAAAGCACCACCCAAAAAGAAGGCUAAGAUAAAGCACGUUGUUGAGGAUCCACUAGUUAUCACUCUCAAAGAUGGGUUCAAACUUGUGGCUGAAGCGCUUGUGAAGUCUAGUAGAGAUGAUGAUGACAUACCCGAUGACCUUUGGGAUGUAAUAUCAACACUGCUAGAUUUUCAAGAAGAGCACCUAGCCCACUACUAUGCUCAUCUUGUGGACAACCCCAAGACUGCAAGAGCCUUCAUGAAACUUACCCAAAUCAACGAGUCUGUUUGGGUGAGUAGGUAUGUCAAGAAGAACUUCUAA